GCUGCCUCCCAAGGAGCUGCUCCAACACCCCAAAAACCACAGUGACCCCAGGACAGCAGAGACACAGACAUCCCCCGGGGAGCCUGGAGCACAGCACCAGGAGGGUGUUUGCUGGGAUCAAGCACCCAGACUCCAGACUGCUCAGAAAAGGGUAGCCUGAGAAAGGCCUCACCCUCCCCAGGUGAUCCCAUAAAACAGAGGUGUGGCACACCCAGGACAGAGCAGUUCUGGGGAAAGCACAGCCCCGGCCUCGCGGAGCGUCUCCAGCUCGGCUCUCGCAGCCAGAUGAGUAAACCCUGGCAGCAACCAUCACCCUUCACUGCCUGGGCUGGAAAUACCUCAGGCUUCACCAUAAAUAUUUGAGGACAUGACAAGCAGCAUUUUUCACACUCCAGAGGCGCAGACUCCCAGGAUCCCAAUGCAUCACUCUGGGAGCAUGGCCUCUCUGGCCAGAAUUCCGGAUGUCUCGCCACCCUCAGCGUUCCCCCCGCCUGAAUCUGUGCCAAAAAGCACUUAGCCUUGAAAUAAGUUCAAUCAUCUUCCUCCCAGCAUCCCAGGAUAACGUUUAUCCUCUUUGCAUUGUGUAAUCCUAAGCAUCAAAACAGUUCACCAAUGUAUUGUGUGGCAUCAUGCAGCUCAUUAGCAGGCAAAAUUAAUACCCGAGCUGUAGGAAGCCCCAUAAUCCCAGCAGGCUGUGGGAAAUGCUGGGAGCUGGGAGGUGGGGACAGAAAUUCAUGAGUGCCUUACCCUGAUAAGACGCCCAGCACCAAGUUGAGCAUGAAGAAAGAGCCAAUGAUGAUGAGAGGGAUGAAGUAAAGCCAAUUCCA
Long non-coding RNA from Passer domesticus (house sparrow), 827 nucleotides. RefSeq lists it as uncharacterized. The record is from RefSeq and is a predicted model, not a curated record. Lineage: Eukaryota; Metazoa; Chordata; Aves; Passeriformes; Passeridae. The transcript is spliced from 3 exons.